Molecule: non-coding RNA, 3978 nt
Organism: Phasianus colchicus (ring-necked pheasant)
Lineage: Eukaryota; Metazoa; Chordata; Aves; Galliformes; Phasianidae
Source: RefSeq, a predicted model, not a curated record
GAGGGGCGGGGGAAAAAGGCGGGAAGGCGUCGGGUGAGGUGGCGCGUGCCGCCCUCACAGCGCUGUGAGGCGAUGGCCGCCAUGGUGGCGCGUUGGUAUCAACGUCGUGCCUUGGUGUUGUGAGUCCAGGCUUUGGCACUAGCAGAACACACUGGAGAACAGUAAGUGCUGAUGUGGUUGGUGAUGAAAGGAAAAGCUUCUGAGAUCCGGGCUUCUUUGAACCAAGCAAGUCUGAGGAUUCACCAGGGACAGGAAACUGGGUUUUUUUCUUCUGCAUCACUUUUCCUCAAAAAUUAAUUUGCAAUAGAAUAGCAAAUUCUGAGCUAGACAGAGUCCAGUACUCCAACUUUCCCUUAACUAUGAAUCAAAUAAUAAUUAAAGAUAACGAUUCACUAAUCCUCAGCGUUGCACCAAGGAGGAAGGUGAGUUGAAUAUAAAUAUAUAUAAUGUCUUUAAAAAAAAUGUUUUUGAAGUGUAGAGAAGUAGAGCAGCUUAUUCAUACUGAAAUAACAAUAAUUAAAAAUACAGAAUUGGGAACCAGCACUCCUUUACAUACUGGUUGUUUCACUUUGCCCAACCUUCCCUGCACUUGGCUCCAGCAGCACCCACGUCCCUUGGAACAGGAAAGGAUACAUUUGCUCUAGCAGAGCUACCAUGUGCAAACAGCCCUACAAGGAGUACAAAACACAACCACGAUCAGCACCUCUGUGAGAAACGCCUUCCACACACACACCCAAAGCUUACUGCUUUGCACAUUGCCAGUUUGCUUGCCUGCCUUUAAAACACUUUUAAGACAGUUUAACUUCGGCACUGUCGCUGUGAUUCAAAUCUAGUUUUAAUUGUGAGAAAACAAACAUUGUGUAAAGAAUCUUGACCUCCUUUGGAAAGAUUCUGACUUGGAAGCUUUAAUUGCAGGGAAUCUGUUCGUAGCGCUAUUUUUACAUGUAUUGGAAACGUAUCAAAGCUAAUUUUUGAGAAGAGUAAAUUAUACUUUAAAAUGCACAAUUGUGAGAAAGUGACUCCCAAACGUCUUUGAGUUGGUCCUUUGUUUCUCGUUAGAAGCAUCUCCUAUCUUCCCUGAUGAGCCUGCUCCUGUUUUUGGGGCUGUUUUGCUUUAAGAUGCUUUUGAUCCUGUAUUCAUUAAAACCUGAUCCUGCUGCUUCCCACCAGCCCUAAUGGUCUGUGAAAUUAUUUUCCUUUCUCUAAGAUGCUGUUAACUCUGCUAGCACCUGCAGAGUAGAGGAGCUCAGAACAUUGUCGAAACUCUUCGAAUUCAUCCAAACCACCUUUUCUCCAUAAACAAUCUUCAAUGUUAUCACAGCAAUCUUCCGUAGUAGAGAAGUGGGAGUGGACUGAACAGAGUUUAAAGUUUUUAUCACUGCUGUUUUCCACUUCUGCAGGAACAGAGAGAUAAUCGUACAAAAGACUUGGGAAUCCAGGGUAAGAUUCACCCUGUGGAGCACAGAGAGAAAGUAUGAAUGAGCUUAAAGGGCUCAAAUAGCUGGGGAAGAAAAGAAAAGGUGAAUCAACUAAGAAAAAGGCAGAGGACAAUGAGAAGUGAUGUAAAAAGGGAAAUGUAAAUGUGCGUUUGCAGUCUGGACCUUGUAGGGAAUAACAGGCAUGGAUUCUGGAAGUAUCCACAAACAAAGAGUUGUUCAGUGUUUCAGUUACUGAGCUGCCAUUUUGUUCUGAUGCUAAGUCUGGUUUUAUUUUUAUGCUGGUGGAAGAGGAGAGCUCUCUCAGUGUCUGGUUUUGACCACAAUGAAGGUUAACGUUAGCUGUUACCGUGCACUUUAUUGUACAGAUUCUAGCACUCUGAUUUAAGUGAUGCUACUCUAGAACAUUCUUACAGAACUAAUCAGAGCUAAUCAGUUCUUUGUUUAUGCCUUCUCAUUAGCAGUCCUGCAGCGACUAUUACUGCAUUAAGUUACUGCAGCCAGAAUGGAGUAAUGAGUAGUUCAAUCUUUAAUUUCAUUUGAAGCUGCGUUCAGUUAUUGCAUGGAAAAUUGCUUUCUGGAGAAAUGAUUUCAAAACCAAGCAUUCAGAAGUCAUGAAGCCUGACCAGAAGUAAGGUUCUCCCUUUUUGAUAUUUUGGAUGUACCGUACAUAUAGAUCUACAGAUUGUGGUCUUGUAACAUUAUCCUUAGACCAGAUAAAAUGAAGCUCAUGUUAAAACUAGGCACUAAUUUAAAGCAUCCAGCUGAUAAAAUCCAGCCCUCGUUAGUGAAGAUUGUCAUUCAAUUGUGCUUUUUGUGUUCUGAGUUUUGGAUCUCUCCAGAUGUGGAUGUGAACACUCCUUCCAGCCCAGCUGUUCGUACAGAAAUGCAGUUAGCUGCUGGGGUGUCUGCACUGCCACGCAGGGCAGGAAGCAGGGGCAGGAUCUGCCCAUUAGGAUGGGCCUUCUCUUUCUCAGUCCUAAGACCAAGAUUUUGUCUUUCCUGCCACGUUCACUGUAAAACAAAUUAACAAAUUACAGCCUAUCACAUUCCCUAAAUGAGAUUUGCCAAGACCUUGGGAGAAAGUCACGCUACAGUUCUGAGAAUAACUUCAAUCAGAGGAGGAACUUGCACAUUUUUUCCUGAAAGCAGGUCCAGCUCUUCAAAGCCGAUAAUGAACAAGAGAGGCUAUAUUUGCCUGGAAAACAGUUUGCAUUGUUCUGAGAAGUGAUUUUAAGAAGUUUAGCUAAUGAGUGUCAGGCGAUCAAACUGCCAGGAGAUACAGACUCAGCUGCCUGCUUUACCCGUGACCACAGAAGAUGGAGAUAACGAUCUCUGCUGUUUAAAUGUACAUGGGGGCUGCGAUUCUAUUGCCUUGGAAUGUGUGAUUUCUCCAGCCUUAAAUGCCAUUUGCAUUUUAAUUUUUUUUCCUUAAAAUAUUUAAAACUGUACACACCUCAUUGCGCAGUGACAUCCAGCUGUAGCAGAUUCAGUCUGAGGUAAUUACAGUCCUUCCUGUUCUUCACAUGCAUCUUCUCACCAUUGCUGAAAUGCUGUUAGUUAUGCACUGUAACUCUAAGUAUGAAACGUUAUGAGAAUACCUAUUUCAGACACACAUCCACUCCCUCCUGCCCUGACACUCUCCACAUGCUAAAAUGGGACUCCAAAGCUGGCAUGUUUUUCCCCAGUAGAUGCCUGAUUCUCGUGUACUUUUCAGUCUGAGAAAUCCAAUAGGAAUUCUUGUUUCCUUUGCCAGAGCGCGUGGAGGCCGGCGUGUUAAGCUCACAAAACCACUGAGCCUUAACUGAGUGGCACAGAACAGAUCCCAAUUCUUCUUAAUGUUUACCAUUGGGGUGAUGGGUUUUUUUUUUUAGUAAUAUCUUUAAGACUGGUAACUCAUCAAUUUCAAAGCAGCACUGGUAGCUUCGUUAUCCCUCAAACUGUUGUCAUUUAAGCAUGAGUCUUUACUAUCCUGUGACCAGCAGAUCACCACUGUCAAACACUUAAUGCACCUCCGAAUGCACGCGCACACAGUACAUCUAACCUAUUCUAUAUGCACUCUAAACAUUAUUUUAAAACAUCUGUUGAUGGAAUUGCAGAGGGAACUCAUAAAGGCAAGGAAGAUGAAAGGAAAAGGAAAGCAGCUGCCAAGCCUUCCCCCUUGUGAACACCGUGUCUCAGUUAGGUCUUUUUCUAAGGCACUUAAAUUCAAGUCCUACUCGACUGAGUUCCCUUCUCCUCAGAGAAAGGCCACUCAUCUGCUAAUGAAGGAGCAAGCCUUUUUGCUUUAGUAACUCCUUGGCAAGUCAGCUCCAACUGAAAACAUCCAGUGAGUGUUCAGAACGUCUGCCAUCUUGACUGCAAAGAGUGUUUACACCUCAGAUUUCAUUUUGGAAAAUAUUCCACUAUCACAAUAAAGCUAUUGUUUGGAGCUGGGGAAAGGAAAAUAAGUGACAAAUCAAACACACCACCCUAAAAAAACCCCAAAUUAAAUAUAUUAUAUUAUAUAUGAUAUAUAUAAUCAUUAUGUUAUUAUUCACUU